CAAGACGGUCCACUGACGCAUACCGCAAAACUCAAAUAUACUUGUUAAGACAACCUUGAAAACUUGAGGGGUGACCUCAUUUAAUCUCCAGUAGCAGUCUUGACAUGUAUUGGAGGUGUUAUGCGUUUGGAUCGUCUUAC
Yersinia ruckeri is the source of this 140-nucleotide non-coding RNA. NCBI's taxonomy places the organism in Bacteria, Pseudomonadati, Pseudomonadota, Gammaproteobacteria, Enterobacterales, Yersiniaceae. The record is from Rfam.